This is a long non-coding RNA of Antechinus flavipes (yellow-footed antechinus), 704 nucleotides long. RefSeq lists it as uncharacterized. The record is from RefSeq and is a predicted model, not a curated record. Lineage: Eukaryota; Metazoa; Chordata; Mammalia; Dasyuromorphia; Dasyuridae. The transcript is spliced from 3 exons.
UAAAUCCUUCAAUAAUUAUCUUUCCAGUGCUGUUUGCUUGGAUUCUUGAGAAGCAAUGCAAAGAUGUCCUGUGAAAUGACUUUUCUUAUUUCUCUGGGCACAAUAUGAGACCAGCUCUGUGUAAUAAGUGGUCCCAGGAUGGGGUUCAUUUGCCCAGAUCAAGAAGAAAGGAGGGUCCCUGAAUUGACUACAUGUGUCAAGGUGACAAGAAGCAACACUACAGAACUUUGUGGUGUUUCGGCAGAUCUCAGCAAGGCUUACAAUGGGAGAAGCCAAGGUUUUGUAUUAUGCAACUUUCACUGCAUGCUCACCCAUUUUAAAUGAUUUCUUCAGCUCCCAUGGGUUCAGCUAUCAUCUCUAUGAAGAUAAUUCUUAGCUUUAUAUAUCCAGCCCUGCUCUCUCUUUUGAGCCGUAGUCCUCCAUCAUCAAUUACUUACUGGAUAUUUUUUUUAAAACAAAGUAUUUUUUAUCUAUAUAAACAAGUACUUUAAAAAAAGUCAAUAGUAUUUUAUUUUUCCAAAUAGAUAUAUAGUUUUCAACAUUCAUUUUUAUAAGACUUUGUUUUCCAAAUUUUUCUCCUUCCCUUCCUUCCCUUCACCAAGACAGCAAACAAUCUGAUAUACAUUAAAUAUGUACAAUUCUUUUAAACAUAUUUGUGUAUUUGUCAUAUUGUGCAAGAAAAAUCAUAUCAAAAGGGAAAAAAA